This 200-nucleotide ribosomal RNA is filed under the name uncultured bacterium. RNAcentral's name for it is "partial 16S ribosomal RNA". It matches the Rfam family "Bacterial small subunit ribosomal RNA", at positions 8 to 203 of the family's 1533-position model. The record is from RNAcentral.
AGAGUUUGAUCAUGGCUCAGGACGAACGCUGGCGGCGUGCCUAAUACAUGCAAGUCGAGCGAAUCUUUGGGAGCUUGCUCCUAAAGGUUAGCGGCGGACGGGUGAGUAACACGUGGGUAACCUGCCUGUAAGAUUGGGAUAACUUCGGGGAAACCGGAGCUAAUACCGGAUAAUUCUUUUUCUCACAUGAGGAAAAGCUG